CCUACGGGUGGCAGCCGUGCGGAAUAUUGGUCAAUGGGCGCGAGCCUGAACCAGCCAAGUAGCGUGAAGGAUGACUGCCCUACGGGUUGUAAACUUCUUUUAUAAAGGAAUACAGUGAGGCACGUGUGCCUUUUUGUAUGUACUUUCUGAAUAAGGAUCGGCUAACUCCGUGCCCGCAGCCGCGUUAAUACGGAGGAUCCGAGCGUUAUCCGGAUUUAUUGGGUUUAACGGGAGCGUAGAUGGGUUUUUAAGUCAGUUGUGAAAGUUUGCGGCUCAACCGUAAAAUUGCAAUUGAUACUGGCAGUCUUGAGUACAGUUGAGGUAGGCGGAAUUCGUGGUGUAGCGGUGAAAUGCUUAGAUAUCACGAAGAACUCCGAGUGCGAAGGCAGCUUACUAAACUGCCACUGACAUUGAUGCUCGAAAGUGUGGGUAUCAAACAGGAUUAGAUACCCUUGGAGUC
Molecule: ribosomal RNA, 460 nt
Filed under: uncultured bacterium
Lineage: Bacteria
Description: partial 16S ribosomal RNA
Rfam family: Bacterial small subunit ribosomal RNA
Source: RNAcentral